CGAAGAACCUUACCAGGCCUUGACAUGCAGAGAACUUUCCAGAGAUGGAUUGUGCCUUCGGGAACUCUGACACAGGUGCUGCAUGGCUGUCGUCAGCUCGUGUCGUGAGAUGUUGGGUUAAGUCCCGUAACGAGCGCAACCCUGUCCUUAGUUACCAGCACGUUAUGGUGGGCACUCUAAGGAGACUGCCGGUGUUAAACCGGAGGAAGGUGGGGAUGACGUCAAGUCCUCAUGGCCUUUAUGACCAGGGCUACACACGUACUACAAUGGCCGAUACAAAGGGCAGCGACACUGCGAGGUGAAGCCAAUCCCGUAAAAUCGGUCUCAGUCCGGAUUGGAGUCUGCAACUCGACUCCAUGAAGUUGGAAUCGCUAGUAAUCGUGGAUCAGCAUGCCACGGUGAAUACGUUCCCGGGCCUU
RNAcentral lists this ribosomal RNA (419 nucleotides) under uncultured Desulfobulbus sp. RNAcentral's name for it is "bacterial SSU rRNA". It matches the Rfam family "Bacterial small subunit ribosomal RNA", at positions 962 to 1382 of the family's 1533-position model. The record is from RNAcentral. Lineage: Bacteria; Pseudomonadati; Thermodesulfobacteriota; Desulfobulbia; Desulfobulbales; Desulfobulbaceae.